UACGGAGGAUUCGAGCGUUAUCCGGAUUUAUUGGGUUUAAAGGGUGCGUAGGCGGACUGAUAAGUUAGUGGUGAAAGUUUGCAGCUUAACUGUAAAAUUGCCGUUAAAACUGUUAGUCUUGAGUGUAAUAGAGGUAGGCGGAAUGUGUUGUGUAGCGGUGAAAUGCUUAGAUAUGACACAGAACACCGAUUGCGAAGGCAGCUUACUAUAAUACAACUGACGCUGAGGCACGAAAGCGUGGGGAUCAAAC
RNAcentral lists this ribosomal RNA (250 nucleotides) under uncultured bacterium. Its description in RNAcentral is "partial 16S ribosomal RNA". It matches the Rfam family "Bacterial small subunit ribosomal RNA", at positions 524 to 773 of the family's 1533-position model. The record is from RNAcentral.